This 181-nucleotide ribosomal RNA is filed under the name uncultured bacterium. RNAcentral describes it as "partial 16S ribosomal RNA". It matches the Rfam family "Bacterial small subunit ribosomal RNA", at positions 1322 to 1500 of the family's 1533-position model. The record is from RNAcentral.
GAAGCUGGAGUUGCUAGUAAUCGCGAAUCAGCAUGUCGCGGUGAAUACGUUCCCGGGCCUUGUACACACCGCCCGUCACACCAUGAGAGUUGGCAAUACCCAACGUACGUGAUCUAACCCGCAAGGGGGGAAGCGUCCUAAGGUAGGGUCAGCGAUUGGGGUGAAGUCGUAACAAGGUAGC